ACUAGGGAGAGCGACGGGCGAUGUGUACACAUCCCAGGGCUUUUUUCAGCAUAACUUUCUAAUUUAUGCUUACUACCAAAUCCACCUUGAAAAUUGAUUUACAUUCAUUUUCCGUAUAAUUAAAAAUUAUUGUAACCCACCUCCACUUUCUUAUAAGCUGCACCUUGACCUGAAGUCUUUAAACAUCUUAGUUUAGAUAAUAUUUUUUAAAAAUUAUCUGGCAACGGCGGUAUACAGGCUUAAUAAAAGAAAGUAAGGUUAAACGUGGAUUAUCGAUUACGGGGCAGGUUCCUCUGGAAAGGUGGGAUGCCGUCAAAUUCUUUGGGUUUGAAGAUUUUCUUUUACUACCCUGGCAAGU
RNAcentral lists this ribosomal RNA (358 nucleotides) under Leptestheria compleximanus. RNAcentral's name for it is "partial 12S ribosomal RNA". Lineage: Eukaryota; Metazoa; Arthropoda; Branchiopoda; Diplostraca; Leptestheriidae. The record is from RNAcentral.